This 468-nucleotide ribosomal RNA is filed under the name uncultured bacterium. Its description in RNAcentral is "bacterial SSU rRNA". It matches the Rfam family "Bacterial small subunit ribosomal RNA", at positions 44 to 507 of the family's 1533-position model. The record is from RNAcentral.
AUGCCUUACACAUGCAAGUCGAACGGCAGCACGGGAGCAAUCCUGGUGGCGAGUGGCGAACGGGUGAGUAAUAUAUCGGAACGUGCCCAGUCGUGGGGGAUAACGUAGCGAAAGCUACGCUAAUACCGCAUACGAUCUAAGGAUGAAAGCGGGGGAUCGCAAGACCUCGCGCGAUUGGAGCGGCCGAUAUCAGAUUAGCUAGUUGGUGAGGUAAAGGCUCACCAAGGCGACGAUCUGUAGCUGGUCUGAGAGGACGACCAGCCACACUGGGACUGAGACACGGCCCAGACUCCUACGGGAGGCAGCAGUGGGGAAUUUUGGACAAUGGGCGCAAGCCUGAUCCAGCAAUGCCGCGUGCAGGAUGAAGGCCUUCGGGUUGUAAACUGCUUCUGUACGGAACGAAACGGUGAGCUCUAAUACAGCUUGCUAAUGACGGUACCGUAAGAAUAAGCACCGGCUAACUACGUG